AGAGGAAGUAAAAGUCGUAACAAGGUUUCCGUAGGUGAACCUGCGGAAGGAUCAUUACAGAGAACAUUGCCCUCACGGGUGAUUCUCCAACCCUAUGUUAUUAAAACCUCUGUUGCUUUGGCGAGACGCUUCGGCCACCGGCUCCCGCUGGUGUGUGCUCGCCAGAGGACCACAAAACUCUUGUUUAUUAAUGUCGUCUGAGUACUAUAUAAUAGUUAAAACUUUCAACAACGGAUCUCUUGGUUCUGGCAUCGAUGAAGAACGCAGCGAAAUGCGAUAAGUAAUGUGAAUUGCAGAAUUCAGUGAAUCAUCGAAUCUUUGAACGCACAUUGCGCCCCGUGGUAUUCCGCGGGGCAUGCCUGUUCGAGCGUCAGUACAACACUCAAGCUCUGCUUGGUAUUGGACCGCAUCAGUACUGAUCGGUCUUAAAAUCAGUGGCGGUGCCAUCGUGCUCUAAGCGUAGUAAUACUCCUCGCUACAGGGUUCUCGGUGUGUGCUUGCCAGCAACCCCCAAUUUUCUAAGUUUGACCUCGGAUCAGGUAGGGAUACCCGCUGAACUUAAGCAUAUC
This 569-nucleotide ribosomal RNA is filed under the name Hamatocanthoscypha laricionis. Its description in RNAcentral is "eukaryotic LSU rRNA". The stretch from base 220 to 373 matches the Rfam family "5.8S ribosomal RNA". The record is from RNAcentral. Lineage: Eukaryota; Fungi; Ascomycota; Leotiomycetes; Helotiales; Hamatocanthoscyphaceae.